GACGAACGCUGGCGGCGUGCUUAACACAUGCAAGUCGAACGGUGAUCUUGAGAGCUUGCUCUUGGGUGAUCAGUGGCGAACGGGUGAGUAACACGUGAGUAACCUGCCCCUGACUCUGGAAUAACUUCGGGAAACCGAAGCUAAUACCGGAUAUGACACAGAGCCGCAUGGUUUCUGUGUGGAAAGUUUUUCGGUUGGGGAUGGACUCGCGGCCUAUCAGCUUGUUGGUGAGGUAAUGGCUCACCAAGGCGACGACGGGUAGCCGGCCUGAGAGGGCGACCGGCCACACUGGGACUGAGACACGGCCCAGACUCCUACGGGAGGCAGCAGUGGGGAAUAUUGCACAAUGGGCGAAAGCCUGAUGCAGCGACGCCGCGUGAGGGAUGAAGGCCUUCGGGUUGUAAACCGUACUUUCUAGUAGGGAAGGAAGCGCAAGUGACGGUACCGUACAGAAGAAGACACCGGCUAACUAACGUGCCAGCAGCCGCGGUAAACGUAAGCGU
This 503-nucleotide ribosomal RNA is filed under the name uncultured bacterium. RNAcentral describes it as "bacterial SSU rRNA". It matches the Rfam family "Bacterial small subunit ribosomal RNA", at positions 28 to 534 of the family's 1533-position model. The record is from RNAcentral.